Molecule: ribosomal RNA, 484 nt
Filed under: uncultured bacterium
Lineage: Bacteria
Description: partial 16S ribosomal RNA
Rfam family: Bacterial small subunit ribosomal RNA
Source: RNAcentral
AUUGAACGCUGGCGGCAGGCCUAACACAUGCAAGUCGAGCGGAUGAAGGGAGCUUGCUCCUGUAUUCAGCUGCGGACGGGUGAGUAAUGCCUAGGAAUCUGCCUGGUAGUGGGGGAUAACGUCCGGAAACGGGCGCUAAUACCGCAUACGUCCUGAGGUAGAAAGUGGGGGAUCUUCGGACCUCACGCUAUCAGAUGAGCCUAGGUCGGAUUAGCUAGUUGGUGUGGUAAAGGCCUACCAAGGCGACGAUCCGUAACUGGUCUGAGAGGAUGAUCAGUCACACUGGAACUGAGACACGGUCCAGACUCCUACGGGAGGCAGCAGUGGGGAAUAUUGGACAAUGGGCGAAAGCCUGAUCCAGCAAUGCCGCGUGUGUGAAGAAGGUCUUCGGAUUGUAAAGCACUUUAAGUUGGGAGGAAGAGCAGUAAGUUAAUACAUUGAUGUUUUGACGUUACCAAAAGAAUAAGCACCGGCUAACUUCGUG